AUUGAUCUGCUGUAACAAGCUAUGUAAUGCAUAUCGCCAUGGCAUGUCAAAAUAUUUAGCUCGAAAAUUAAAAACUAAGAAAACAUUAAAGCUAAUGCUAAAGAAAACAAACAAACAUCCGGACCCGCUAUUCUCCCCUCUGGCCACGCCUUUGGACGAAAUGUGCGUUUUUAAGUAAAUUGCAAUUAUCGGUUACCUUAAAUCAAUAUAUGAUUACUUUAUUGCAUGGGGGUUUCUCAUAUGUAUGAACGCUCAACUCUGCAUUUGAUGAUGUUAAUAAUAACCUUGCGCAUUUAUUUCUUUGUUUUUUUUAUGAAUUUAUUUGCAUCAUAUUCGAAUUUGGAACCUUUAGCUACCUAAACUAGAUGGUUGUGACUUUACUUGUAUUAAUGGAUAUGUCUAUAAGCAGUUUGUGGUCACGUCGAAAAGUUUUUACAAAUAUAAUUUAAUUAAAAGCCUGAAAGUGAAGUCAUCUGAAAAUUAAACUGUAUCUGAAAUAAAAGUAUUGAACUAACCUCAAAUUAUUAAAGGGUUCCAGCGGGUGUCUAGUAAUUUUUGAUAGAGCGUAAAAUGUUCAAAUGAGCAAAACACGAAAUGAGCGGUAUAAAGGGAAUAAGGCACAAUUGUAAAUAAAUCCAGCUUUGAAUAAAAACCAAUGCUCGAACCAUCUCGUUUCGCCAUCCUUCCAAACACUCAACGGUAUUUUCCAAGGAUGUAAAUGCGCAGCG
Molecule: non-coding RNA, 728 nt
Organism: Paramuricea clavata
Lineage: Eukaryota; Metazoa; Cnidaria; Anthozoa; Malacalcyonacea; Plexauridae
Source: the annotation of a GenBank genome assembly